GAUUGAUCCUGGCUCAGAUUGAACGCUGGCGGCAUGCUUUACACAUGCAAGUCGAACGGCAGCGCGGGGCAACCUGGCGGCGAGUGGCGAACGGGUGAGUAAUAUAUCGGAACGUACCCAAGAGUGGGGGAUAACGUAGCGAAAGUUACGCUAAUACCGCAUACGAUCUAAGGAUGAAAGCAGGGGAUCUUCGGACCUUGUGCUCCUGGAGCGGCCGAUAUCUGAUUAGCUAGUUGGUGAGGUAAAGGCUCACCAAGGCUACGAUCAGUAGCUGGUCUGAGAGGACGACCAGCCACACUGGAACUGAGACACGGUCCAGACUCCUACGGGAGGCAGCAGUGGGGAAUUUUGGACAAUGGGCGAAAGCCUGAUCCAGCAAUGCCGCGUGAGUGAAGAAGGCCUUCGGGUUGUAAAGCUCUUUUGUCAGGGAAGAAACGGUUUGGGCUAAUAUCCUGGGCUAAUGACGGUACCUGAAGAAUAAGCACCGGCUAACUACGUGCCAGCAGCCGCGGUAAAAU
RNAcentral lists this ribosomal RNA (518 nucleotides) under uncultured bacterium. RNAcentral's name for it is "bacterial SSU rRNA". It matches the Rfam family "Bacterial small subunit ribosomal RNA", at positions 11 to 526 of the family's 1533-position model. The record is from RNAcentral.